CGGAGCAUAGCUCAAUGGUAGAGCGGCGUGUAUUCAGUAGCGAUGGCGUGUCACAUUGACGAUACGUUGCUGCGGAGGGAUCCGGACCAGUCACCCGGUUUUCAAUUCAGUGACGGUGCAGGUUCAAGUCCUGCUGCUCCGC
Molecule: transfer RNA, 142 nt
Filed under: Blautia sp.
Lineage: Bacteria; Bacillati; Bacillota; Clostridia; Lachnospirales; Lachnospiraceae
Description: tRNA-OTHER
Rfam family: tRNA
About the family: Transfer RNA (tRNA) molecules are approximately 80 nucleotides in length. Their secondary structure includes four short double-helical elements and three loops (D, anti-codon, and T loops).
Source: RNAcentral